This 1121-nucleotide ribosomal RNA is filed under the name Salmonella enterica. Its description in RNAcentral is "partial 23S ribosomal RNA". It matches the Rfam family "Bacterial large subunit ribosomal RNA", at positions 583 to 1706 of the family's 2925-position model. The record is from RNAcentral. Lineage: Bacteria; Pseudomonadati; Pseudomonadota; Gammaproteobacteria; Enterobacterales; Enterobacteriaceae.
CUUUGGGGUGUGACUGCGUACCUUUUGUAUAAUGGGUCAGCGACUUAUAUUCUGUAGCAAGGUUAACCGUAUAGGGGAGCCGUAGGGAAACCGAGUCUUAACCGGGCGUUAAGUUGCAGGGUAUAGACCCGAAACCCGGUGAUCUAGCCAUGGGCAGGUUGAAGGUUGGGUAACACUAACUGGAGGACCGAACCGACUAAUGUUGAAAAAUUAGCGGAUGACCUGUGGCUGGGGGUGAAAGGCCAAUCAAACCGGGAGAUAGCUGGUUCUCCCCGAAAGCUAUUUAGGUAGCGCCUCGUGAAUUCAUCUCCGGGGGUAGAGCACUGUUUCGGCUAGGGGGCCAUCCCGGCUUACCAACCCGAUGCAAACUGCGAAUACCGGAGAAUGUUAUCACGGGAGACACACGGCGGGUGCUAACGUCCGUCGUGAAGAGGGAAACAACCCAGACCGCCAGCUAAGGUCCCAAAGUCAUGGUUAAGUGGGAAACGAUGUGGGAAGGCCCAGACAGCCAGGAUGUUGGCUUAGAAGCAGCCAUCAUUUAAAGAAAGCGUAAUAGCUCACUGGUCGAGUCGGCCUGCGCGGAAGAUGUAACGGGGCUAAACCAUGCACCGAAGCUGCGGCAGCGACACUGUGUGUUGUUGGGUAGGGGAGCGUUCUGUAAGCCUGUGAAGGUGGCCUGUGAGGGUUGCUGGAGGUAUCAGAAGUGCGAAUGCUGACAUAAGUAACGAUAAAGCGGGUGAAAAGCCCGCUCGCCGGAAGACCAAGGGUUCCUGUCCAACGUUAAUCGGGGCAGGGUGAGUCGACCCCUAAGGCGAGGCCGAAAGGCGUAGUCGAUGGGAAACAGGUUAAUAUUCCUGUACUUGGUGUUACUGCGAAGGGGGGACGGAGAAGGCUAUGUUGGCCGGGCGACGGUUGUCCCGGUUUAAGCGUGUAGGUGUGUGUUCCAGGUAAAUCCGGUUCACUUUAACACUGAGGCGUGAUGACGAGGCACUACGGUGCUGAAGCAACAAAUGCCCUGCUUCCAGGAAAAGCCUCUAAGCAUCAGGUAACAUCAAAUCGUACCCCAAACCGACACAGGUGGUCAGGUAGAGAAUACCAAGGCGCUUGAGAGAACUCGGGUG